GCGCGGUCAUACCAGUUUCUCGGCUCCAAUUGGGAACAAGUUCGCUCGCGUCGCGGAAGAAGCAAAGGCCAUAAAAUAGAGAAGCACUGCAAAUGCACUGUUAUUCAUAAAGUACAACCGCGAUUAGAAGAGCCCAAGGAACAGGUGUUUAUCGACCACCUGACAGGCCGCAAAUCAGCGAGAGUAAACCGCGAGGGGAAGAGAAAAGCUGUGCCAACACACAGGCACAUUCUUCUGCAUUCGCUGCCCACCGCUUUCAUCGCGGGCUUCGUUCGUGUGUGUGCGUGCGUGUGUGCGAAAGAGCGUGUGCAAAUAUCGGUUUUGCCGCGUUGUCUGCUCUGCUGCGAAUUUCAAGCCAAGAGAGGAGACAGGGAGAGAGAGAGAGCGAGGAGAGGAGAGGAGAGGAUCGGGUGAAUGUCGCUGAAACACCAGAAGUCAUCCUACCAACCGCUUCCAACGGCGGCUGCCAUGGACAACCCGGCGAUGAUCCAGAGCGGCAGCAGCGGGAGCAGUCGGGAGGAUGUGGCCGUCGGACUCUCCGAGACCAACUCGUCACAGGAGCUGGUGAACUCGGAAAGCAUGGAGGAGCACUGUUGCCUGCGCCAGCCCCACCACCUGGAUGCGGGCGUCGCCCCCUCCGCCGCCGUGCCCUCGCGCCUCUUCGCCGUGGGCAGGUCGCAGUGGUUCACCGUCUUCGUCCUCUGCUUCGUCAACCUCAUCAACUACAUGGACCGCUUCACGAUCGCCGGAGUGCUGACAGAUGUGCGAACUGACUUCGACAUUGGAAAUGACAGCGCCGGACUUUUGCAGACCGUAUUCGUCAUCUCGUACAUGGUGUGCGCCCCCAUCUUCGGAUACCUGGGCGAUCGCUACUCCCGCCCCUGGAUAAUGGCGGUGGGCGUGGCCCUGUGGAGCACCACCACCCUGCUGGGCUCGUACAUGCAGGACUUCGGCUGGUUCAUCACCUUCCGGGCGCUGGUCGGGAUCGGCGAGGCCUCGUACAGCACCAUUGCGCCGACGAUCAUCUCGGACCUCUUCGUGCACGACAUGCGCUCCAAGAUGCUGGCACUGUUCUACUUUGCCAUACCCGUGGGAUCCGGUCUGGGAUACAUUGUGGGAUCCAAGACCGCGCACCUGGCCAACAACUGGCGCUGGGCCCUGAGGGUCACGCCCAUCCUCGGCAUUCUGGCCGUCCUGCUCAUUGUGCUCAUCAAGGAUCCGGAGCGGGGUCACAGCGAGGGAUCGCACAACCUGGAGGCCACCACCUACAGGCAGGACAUCAAGGCUUUGGUUAAGAACCGCUCGUUCAUGCUCUCCACGGCGGGCUUCACGUGCGUGGCCUUUGUGGCCGGAGCCCUGGCCUGGUGGGGACCCUCUUUCAUCUACCUAGGCAUGAAGAUGCAGCCCGGCAACGAGGACAUCGUCCAGGACGACAUCUCGUACAAGUUUGGCCUGGUGGCCAUGCUGGCGGGUCUCAUCGGAGUUCCGCUGGGCUCCUUCCUCGCCCAGAGGCUGAGGGGCAGCUACGAGAACUGUGAUCCCUACAUCUGCGCGGUGGGACUCUUCAUCUCGGCUCCCAUGGUGUUUGCCGCCUUGGUGGUGCCGCAGACGAGCGAAAGCCUGUGCUUCUUCUUCGUCUUCGUGGCCCAAGUGGCUCUGAACCUGUGCUGGUCCAUAGUGGCGGAUAUCCUACUGUAUGUGGUGGUCCCUACACGACGUUCUACAGCCGAGGCCUUCCAGAUCCUCAUCUCGCAUGCGUUGGGCGACGCCGGCAGUCCUUAUUUGGUGGGAGCGAUCUCCGAGGCCAUCAUGAAGCACCUGCACAAGAACCCGGGCGCCUCUGGCCUGACGACUGAAAUGCAGAGCAUGUCCCAAGUGGCGGAGACCCCAAUGGGUAAUGUCACCACGGCCAUUGUGGAGGCCACCACCAAUAUGAUUGACACAGUGCGCUCCGCUGCCACGCUCUCCGAUGAGUACUCCGACAGGGAGCAGUUUGAGGGAUUGCAGUACGCCCUGUUCUCCACCAGCUUUGUGGAGGUGCUGGGCGGCAUUUUCUUCAUGAUCACCGCCUGCUUCAUCAUCAAGGACAAGUACAAUGCCACUAGGGGACUGCAAGGCGACCAGGGACUGGGUGCGGUACGAUCGUCAGCUGCCUUGGCCAGUGGGCUAAAGGACGUCGAGUCCUUCCACUCAGACUGCCUGGUCAUGUGCACUGACAUCGCGCUGCGCGAACGCACCUGAUAGCGCGAAUACGAAAACCUAAAGUGUGCCCUGGGCACUGACUGAUUUUUAUUUUCGGCCUAGCUCCCGAUGCCACUACUCAACAACAGCAGCGGGAGCAGCGCGAUCAGAUUGCCUAAUACCAGCCGAUCCUCGAGGUUAUGCUGAGCACUCAGAGCUCCGAUGGCAUGCCGGGUGAACUGAUACUGACUGAAAAUCAUCUUUAAUUUAAACAACGCUCACUCGCACCACGCACAUGCCGCAUCGGAUCGUACCGGAAGCUUAAGGGGACGCCCUGGGCCUGCCACGCUCAGAUCGGCCGCCACAAGUCCCCCGUGUUCAAGUUCCUAUUGGGAAGGAAGGAAGGAAGGAAGGGCCACCAGGCCAACGUUCAACACCCCACACUGAUUUGUAGAUAUAGAUACAAACACUCACUCUCACUCUGGCACUCACCAAGUCAUAACGUUACACAGUUCAUUUUACUUGUAAACGGUUUACACGUAGUCUAGGAUAGGUAUAGCUCUGGUAUUUUAGGCUAAAUCACGCAGAGUUUCGCACUCGAAGAAGUGCUCCCUCAGAACGGAUAAUGUACAUAGAUGUUAUCUCAGGCAUCGAGUGCGACACCGCCUGCAGCUUGGAUAUUUAAAUCAUGUGUGUGUGUAUAUUUUAUAUGAAUUGUAAAUAUAUGGAUAAGCGCCGGGCCAUUGUAUAAGUGCGUAGUCUAUUUAAUCAAUUUAGUCCUAAUCUGAACAUAAUGUUAAUCAUAGCAUUAGUCAUUAGUUAGUUGUGUAACGAAUUGGAAGAAAUGUGUGCACCCUCAACCAUAACUGAAUAUUACAGCGUAACUAUUUUAGGCCAAAACGGCAUUAACCAAUCCUCGAGUUUGUUUUUUGUUUGAUUGACCCUAAUCGAAUGCUAGCCUAAUCGGAGCGCAAAUGAAAAGCGACACAAAGACUGCAAGCAAAUUGAUUGUUUAGCAACUAAGGAUUUUCGAGGCAAUAAAUAUAAAUUUCGGAAAAAUUCAAA
Molecule: RNA transcript, 3246 nt
Organism: Drosophila biarmipes
Lineage: Eukaryota; Metazoa; Arthropoda; Insecta; Diptera; Drosophilidae
Gene: spin
Gene name: protein spinster
Exons: 9
Source: RefSeq, a predicted model, not a curated record